GGAGCUUGCUCCACCGGAAAAAGAGGAGUGGCGAACGGGUGAGUAACACGUGGGUAACCUGCCCAUCAGAAGGGGAUAACACUUGGAAACAGGUGCUAAUACCGUAUAACAAUCGAAACCGCAUGGUUUUGAUUUGAAAGGCGCUUUACGGUGCCGCUGAUGGAUGGACCCGCGGUGCAUUAGCUAGUUGGUGAGGUAACGGCUCACCAAGGCCACGAUGCAUAGCCGACCUGAGAGGGUGAUCGGCCACAUUGGGACUGAGACACGGCCCAAACUCCUACGGGAGGCAGCAGUAGGGAAUCUUCGGCAAUGGACGAAAGUCUGACCGAGCAACGCCGCGUGAGUGAAGAAGGUUUUCGGAUCGUAAAACUCUGUUGUUAGAGAAGAACAAGGAUGAGAGUAACUGUUCAUCCCUUGACGGUAUCUAACCAGAAAGCCACGGCUAACUACGUGCCAGCAGCCGCGGUAAUACGUAGGUGGCAAGCGUUGUCCGGAUUUAUUGGGCGUAAAGCGAGCGCAGGCGGUUUCUUAAGUCUGAUGUGAAAGCCCCCGGCUCAACCGGGGAGGGUCAUUGGGAAACUGGGAGACUUGAGUGCAGAAGAGGAGAGUGGAAUUCCAUGUGUAGCGGUGAAAUGCGUAGAUAUAUGGAGGAACACCAGUGGCGAAGGCGGCUCUCUGGUCUGUAACUGACGCUGAGGCUCGAAAGCGUGGGGAGCAAACAGGAUUAGAUACCCUGGUAGUCCACGCCGUAAACGAUGAGUGCUAAGUGUUGGAGGGUUUCCGCCCUUCAGUGCUGCAGCUAACGCAUUAAGCACUCCGCCUGGGGAGUACGACCGCAAGGUUGAAACUCAAAGGAAUUGACGGGGGCCCGCACAAGCGGUGGAGCAUGUGGUUUAAUUCGAAGCAACGCGAAGAACCUUACCAGGUCUUGACAUCCUUUGACCACUCUAGAGAUAGAGCUUCCCCUUCGGGGGCAAAGUGACAGGUGGUGCAUGGUUGUCGUCAGCUCGUGUCGUGAGAUGUUGGGUUAAGUCCCGCAACGAGCGCAACCCUUAUUGUUAGUUGCCAUCAUUUAGUUGGGCACUCUAGCAAGACUGCCGGUGACAAACCGGAGGAAGGUGGGGAUGACGUCAAAUCAUCAUGCCCCUUAUGACCUGGGCUACACACGUGCUACAAUGGGAAGUACAACGAGUCGCGAAGUCGCGAGGCUAAGCUAAUCUCUUAAAGCUUCUCUCAGUUCGGAUUGUAGGCUGCAACUCGCCUACAUGAAGCCGGAAUCGCUAGUAAUCGCGGAUCAGCACGCCGCGGUGAAUACGUUCCCGGGCCUUGUACACUCCGCGGGGUCACACCACGAGAGUUUGUAACACCCGAAGUCGGUGAGGUAACCUUUUGGAGCCAGCCGCCUA
RNAcentral lists this ribosomal RNA (1406 nucleotides) under Enterococcus mundtii. Its description in RNAcentral is "16S ribosomal RNA". It matches the Rfam family "Bacterial small subunit ribosomal RNA". Lineage: Bacteria; Bacillati; Bacillota; Bacilli; Lactobacillales; Enterococcaceae. The record is from RNAcentral.